UUGCGGCGUAGCUCAACGGCAGAGCGAUGGGCUCAUGACCCAUAGGUAGGCGGUUCAAUUCCGUCGGCCGCAAGC
RNAcentral lists this transfer RNA (75 nucleotides) under compost metagenome. RNAcentral's name for it is "tRNA-Met". It matches the Rfam family "tRNA". Rfam says of the family: Transfer RNA (tRNA) molecules are approximately 80 nucleotides in length. The record is from RNAcentral.